UUUCACCGGAGCUUGCUCCACCGAAAGAAAAGGAGUGGCGAACGGGUGAGUAACACGUGGGUAACCUGCCCAUCAGAAGGGGAUAACACUUGGAAACAGGUGCUAAUACCGUAUAACAAUCGAAACCGCAUGGUUUCGGUUUGAAAGGCGCUUUUGCGUCACUGAUGGAUGGACCCGCGGUGCAUUAGCUAGUUGGUGAGGUAACGGCUCACCAAGGCAACGAUGCAUAGCCGACCUGAGAGGGUGAUCGGCCACAUUGGGACUGAGACACGGCCCAAACUCCUACGGGAGGCAGCAGUAGGGAAUCUUCGGCAAUGGACGGAAGUCUGACCGAGCAACGCCGCGUGAGUGAAGAAGGUUUUCGGAUCGUAAAACUCUGUUGUUAGAGAAGAACAAGGAUGAGAGUAGAAUGUUCAUCCCUUGACGGUAUCUAACCAGAAAGCCACGGCUAACUACGUGCCAGCAGCCGCGGUAAUACGUAGGUGGCAAGCGUUGUCCGGAUUUAUUGGGCGUAAAGCGAGCGCAGGCGGUUUCUUAAGUCUGAUGUGAAAGCCCCCGGCUCAACCGGGGAGGGUCAUUGGAAACUGGGAAACUUGAGUGCAGAAGAGGAGAGUGGAAUUCCAUGUGUAGCGGUGAAUGCGUAGAUAUAUGGAGGAACACCAGUGGCGAAGGCGGCUCUCUGGUCUGUAACUGACGCUGAGG
RNAcentral lists this ribosomal RNA (702 nucleotides) under uncultured Bacilli bacterium. RNAcentral describes it as "bacterial SSU rRNA". It matches the Rfam family "Bacterial small subunit ribosomal RNA", at positions 68 to 751 of the family's 1533-position model. The record is from RNAcentral. Lineage: Bacteria; Bacillati; Bacillota; Bacilli.